CUGGGAGAGGCAGUGAGCAUGAGUCAAACGUGACAGGGACUUGAAUCUCCCCGCCCCGCCCCGCCUGCAGUAGCCAGGCCAGAGUCGGGAAUGGGAGAUGAAACUAGUUUUCCACCCACUUUUGGACAAGUCCCACCCCUAGAUCUGAAGCAAGCCCUGCCAGCAGCGUGUCCUGGAAGCCUGCCUGCCUGCCCGUCUGCACAGGUGUCUUGAUCCAGCCCUGCGUCUUCGAGCCCCUGUGCCACCGGUCCCCACAGCCCGCCAGGAGUCUCUUUGUACCCACUAGGCUUCCCUGAUGACCACCUGUCUGUCCGUCCCUGUGUCUGCUGUACAUACCUCCUGCUGCACCCUCUCCCCGCACACCCGUCACCCAUAAGAGAGAGAAACCUCUCUAGGGAAAGGCAGGGUGGCUGCACCCAGCAACUAAUCCAAAUGGCAAAUAUUUUGUAACAAAAUAGCCCAGAGGUAUUUUAUCUGUUCAAUUCAUAGAGUUUUAGAGAUUAUAUUGAAAGAUGUCACUUG
This 522-nucleotide small RNA is filed under the name Pan troglodytes (chimpanzee). RNAcentral's name for it is "processed transcript". The record is from RNAcentral. Lineage: Eukaryota; Metazoa; Chordata; Mammalia; Primates; Hominidae.